Non-coding RNA from Neolamprologus brichardi, 3829 nucleotides. The record is from RefSeq and is a predicted model, not a curated record. Lineage: Eukaryota; Metazoa; Chordata; Actinopteri; Cichliformes; Cichlidae.
ACGUAAACUUACUAGCUGAAGUCACGUCGGGAAAGAGGGCAGGGAGGAAAGGAGCGAGCUAGCCGUUUAGCUACGUGACGUACACAAUAAUUGUGUAAUAAUCCCGAUAUUUACGCGUAAUUAUCGUCUAAUAGAAAAAUAACGGAAGGUUGCGACGUUCUUGUCGUUGUUCUCGUAAAUUGCGCUUAUUUUGCCGCCAAUCGCCGAGCGAAACGAAAACAAACCACUCUCCGACGUCAAAGCUAGCAUAACAAACACAACAGAACGGGAAAAAAUGAGAGGGGGUUCAUCUUAUGGAGACAGAGACAGGGACCGUGGACGAGACAGGCCACGGUUUGGGCCCAUGAGCGGUCGCGGUGGACCUCCACCAAUGAAGUUUGGGAAUCCAGGGGAGCGUCUUCGAAAGAAGAGGUGGAAUCUGGAUGAGCUGCCAAAAUUUGAGAAGAACUUCUACACUGAACAUCUUGAGGUGCAACGUGUGAAUCAGUAUGAAGUGGAAGACUUCCGCAAAAGAAAGGAGAUCACAAUCAGAGGGUCCGGCUGUCCAAAGCCUGUCACCGCUUUUCACCACGCGCAGUUUCCUCAGUACGUGAUGGAUGUGCUGAUGCAGCAGAACUUCAAGGAGCCCACAGCAAUCCAGUCCCAGGGUUUUCCUGCGGCCCUGAGUGGCAGGGACAUGGUGGGGAUUGCACAGACUGGAUCGGGAAAGACACUGGCUUACCUUCUUCCAGCUAUUGUACACAUCAACCACCAACCCUAUCUGGAGAGGGGAGAUGGUCCAAUUUGUUUGGUACUUGCCCCAACCAGAGAGUUGGCUCAGCAGGUACAACAGGUCGCUUAUGACUAUGGGAAGUCUUCCCGUAUCAAAAGCACCUGUGUCUACGGUGGAGCUCCAAAAGGACCACAGAUUCGAGACCUUGAACGAGGGGUUGAGAUUUGCAUUGCCACACCUGGUCGCCUCAUUGAUUUCUUAGAGGCAGGGAAGACCAACCUGCGCCGCUGCACCUACUUAGUGCUGGAUGAGGCUGACCGCAUGUUGGACAUGGGCUUUGAACCGCAGAUUCGCAAGAUAGUAGAACAAAUUCGGCCUGACAGACAGACUCUGAUGUGGAGUGCAACGUGGCCAAAAGAGGUUCGGCAGCUGGCUGAGGACUUCCUGAGGGACUACAUCCAGAUCAAUAUCGGAGCUCUGGAGCUCAGCGCCAACCACAACAUCCUGCAAAUAGUCGAUGUCUGCAUGGAGACUGAAAAGGACGACAAACUCAUUCAGCUGAUGGAGGAGAUAAUGGCUGAAAAAGAGAACAAAACCAUCAUCUUUGUGGAGACUAAGAAACGCUGUGAUGAUCUUACACGGAGGAUGAGGCGUGAUGGGUGGCCGGCCAUGUGCAUUCACGGAGACAAGAGCCAGCCUGAAAGAGACUGGGUACUUACAGAAUUUCGGAGUGGCAAAGCCCCCAUUCUGAUUGCCACUGAUGUUGCCUCUCGUGGUCUGGGUAUGUCUCACCACACAAUAGCUCAUAAUAUAUCUCACUAUCUUAAUAAUUCAUAGUAUCUCAUGUAAUUCUGUAUCACUGUGUCAUUGUGAUUUGUUUUUUUAAAUAUUUUUUUUUUCAGAAAUAACUUAUAAUAUAUACAUAAAAGAAUAACACGGUUAUAGUUGGUGGGUUCCUAUUAAAGUGACCUCUGUUCUGCUAAAUAUCUUUACAAGUAGGCCAGUAGAUUGUCUGUAAGUGGACAGCUGGAGAUCAACCUUUCUUGCAAUUGGCAGAUAUAAAUCAAAACACAAAAUAUACAUUUUCUUGCAGAAUUGUCCUCCAACAAUUACACUCAGGUGGUUUUAUGACAGUUUUUUGUUAUUAGGAAUGUAUUAAUUUGGGUCAACAAUAAUUACAAAAUAACACUUAAAUACACUAAGUACACAUCUGCUAUAAAAAUUUAAAAAAAGGCUACAAUAUUUUGCAAAAACUCAUUGUUUGCCUUUCAGUACAUGUACUUAAUUCUAGUGGAAGAUCACAAGUAUGUCAUUUGAUCUGUUAACAUUUUUGCAUUUAAAAAAUUAAGGUUAAUAGAUUUUAAAAAAAUUCAUUUUAAUUAUGUUUCUAUUAUGAGUCAGUGUCAUUAUAGUAAAUGAAUAAAAUAAAAACUAAAGUGUAGUUAACUGAAAUAAAACUCUUGAAAAAGGUUAACUGAAACUAUAUUUUGCACAUAAACAAAACAAAAUAAAAAUAUCCAAGAAAUGUCCUUAGUUUUAGUAUUUCUCAGGUUGGCCGAAAUUUACCAAUACAGCCGGUAUUGGUACAGAUUUCUAUUGAGAUAUGGGGUAUUUAUGUCAUACUUAUGUCACUGUGUACCAGUGUCUGCAUUGUGAAAUAUAUUCUAAGCUUGUUCUUCUUCCUGAAAAUUAUACUCCAUAUUAUAAUACUUAAAAAAAACUUGUAAAGCUAAAGCUUAAAAUAAUAAAAAAUUAACUACAACUAAAAGUUAUCAAAAAAAACCUGCAAUGAGUAAGUCCAUACUAAAAUCUAAAAAAAAAGUUAAAUACAAAACUAAUAACACUUCUGGUUCUGGUUUUAACCUAUUAAUGUGGUCUCUCGGUUAAACAGGACAUUAGCACAUUAGUUACAGGAGAUUAAUACACCAGUAAUUUCGUAUUAUACAGUGUGUACUGUACUUACUUACUGUAAUAAUGUGACAGUCUAACGGACCAUUUUGUCCAGUAUGGAGGCUGCAGGCCCUCUGGUCCACUGGGUUUAUAGUCUGUUUCUUGUUACUGCAGUUUAAAGGCUUCCUUCAAACGGGGCUCUUUGGCACGCUGCCUGAAAGGAGGGGUGUGUGGGACAGAUGCUCCUGUGCACCUUUUCUUAUGUCUCCUUUGUGGUGUCAGGACAAAUUUACUAAGGAUGUCGCACAUAUUGCCCUUUUUUUUUAAUCUAAGCGUUAAACGAUAAAUUGUGUAGUUGUCCCUUUAUUCUGCAAAAAUGUUAAAGUUUGCUAUGUUUUGCAGAUGCAUAUGUGUAGAAUAAAGACAGAUGAAUUUUCUCAGAUCCACUUGUUGACAGGAUAAUCUUGAGAAGGGGGGAUAAGUGAAAGUGUCUUAAUUUUUCCAAAAUCCCCAUGACCGAAUCCUUGUUCUCUUUUCCCCUCUUCUCCUCUCAGGGUUUGGCAGCACAUGGCAGCUGUAACAAUCUGCGCUGCUGUCACUGCCCCCUCAUUCACGUUAAAAUAGAAGCUUCGCUAGUUUUAGAGGGAUUACAGCCCCUCUUAUUCGACUAAAAAAAGAUCCCCCCUGCCCAGUAUUGUCAGAGUUUGUAAAUCCAACGAGCCUUCCUUGGGAGCAGCCUGAGGUUCCUGUAUGUCUGCCCAUCGGUCCGUCCCAAAAAGCAGACAGACAGGAGAGAGAGAGUUAGACGGGCUCGUCUGGAUCCAGUCCUGGCCAGGGUCUGAGGAGGGCCCUGCAAUGCGGCGAGAGAGCAACAGAACCACCCGUUGUGUGUGUGUGUUUGUGUAAACGUGUGUGUGUUUGCGUGGCUGGGUGUGUCUCUGGAGAUUUAACGGUUCUGCUCCCGUCUGACGUUGCUGGUGUGAGCAGAAGGUGAGGGAGGAAUCCCGUCUCCCUCUCCCUCAGCCCCUCCUCGUGAACCAGGACUGAUCAGGGGGGACUGACUACCUUUGUAAACACAACAUGAAGGGGAUGUGGAGGAUGUCAAGUUCGUCAUCAACUAUGACUAUCCAAGCUCCUCUGAGGAUUAUGUCCAUCGUAUUGGGCGUACAGCUCGCAGUACCAACAAGGGCACUGCUUACACCUUCUUCACCCCAGGAAACCUGCGAC